RNAcentral lists this ribosomal RNA (253 nucleotides) under uncultured bacterium. RNAcentral describes it as "partial 16S ribosomal RNA". It matches the Rfam family "Bacterial small subunit ribosomal RNA", at positions 524 to 776 of the family's 1533-position model. The record is from RNAcentral.
UACGUAGGGCGCAAGCGUUAUCCGGAAUUAUUGGGCGUAAAGAGCUCGUAGGCGGUUUGUCGCGUCUGCCGUGAAAGUCCGGGGCUCAACUCCGGAUCUGCGGUGGGUACGGGCAGACUAGAGUGAUGUAGGGGAGACUGGAAUUCCUGGUGUAGCGGUGAAAUGCGCAGAUAUCAGGAGGAACACCGAUGGCGAAGGCAGGUCUCUGGGCAACAACUGACGCUGAGGAGCGAAAGCGUGGGGAGCGAACAGG